This 422-nucleotide ribosomal RNA is filed under the name uncultured bacterium. Its description in RNAcentral is "bacterial SSU rRNA". It matches the Rfam family "Bacterial small subunit ribosomal RNA", at positions 355 to 774 of the family's 1533-position model. The record is from RNAcentral.
UGAGGAAUAUUGGUCAAUGGACGGAAGUCUGAACCAGCCAUGCCGCGUGCAGGAUGACGGCCCUAUGGGUUGUAAACUGCUUUUAUUCGGGAAUAAACCUCUUUACGAGUAGAGAGCUGAAGGUACCGAAGGAAUAAGCACCGGCUAACUCCGUGCCAGCAGCCGCGGUAAUACGGAGGGUGCGAGCGUUAUCCGGAUUUACUGGGUUUAAAGGGUGCGUAGGUGGGCUUAUAAGUCAGUGGUGAAAUCUCCGAGCUUAACUUGGAAACUGCCGUUGAUACUAUAGGUCUUGAAUUACCUGGAGGUAAGCGGAAUAUGUCAUGUAGCGGUGAAAUGCUUAGAUAUGACAUAGAACACCAAUUGCGAAGGCAGCUUACUACAUAUAAAUUGACGCUGAGGCACGAAAGCGUGGGGAUCAAACA